GGGGACGUGGCGCAAUUGGUAGCGCACCUGCUUUGCAAGCAGGGGGUUGCCGGUUCGAGUCCGGUCGUCUCCACCC
Molecule: transfer RNA, 76 nt
Filed under: Leekyejoonella antrihumi
Lineage: Bacteria; Bacillati; Actinomycetota; Actinomycetes; Micrococcales; Dermacoccaceae
Description: Dermacoccaceae bacterium C5-26 tRNA-Ala
Rfam family: tRNA
About the family: Transfer RNA (tRNA) molecules are approximately 80 nucleotides in length. Their secondary structure includes four short double-helical elements and three loops (D, anti-codon, and T loops). Further hydrogen bonds mediate the characteristic L-shaped molecular structure. tRNAs have two regions of fundamental functional importance: the anti-codon, which is responsible for specific mRNA codon recognition, and the 3' end, to which the tRNAs corresponding amino acid is attached (by aminoacyl-tRNA synthetases). tRNAs cope with the degeneracy of the genetic code in two manners: having more than one tRNA (with a specific anti-codon) for a particular amino acid; and 'wobble' base-pairing, i.e. permitting non-standard base-pairing at the 3rd anti-codon position.
Source: RNAcentral